Long non-coding RNA from Rhododendron vialii, 490 nucleotides. RefSeq lists it as uncharacterized. The record is from RefSeq and is a predicted model, not a curated record. The transcript has 3 exons. Lineage: Eukaryota; Viridiplantae; Streptophyta; Magnoliopsida; Ericales; Ericaceae.
CGUGGCCACACCCAUCGCCUCUCUCUCUCUCUCUCUCUCUCUACAACAACGGGUGUUUUCUAUUUGUGUCUCAGAAGUUUAGAAACAGAACCACUUCUGCAGCCCAAUAAUGUGAGGAACAAUCUAAGAAAUCGAUCCAAGCUAUAUGCCUCUCACGUGUUUGACAUUUGGCUUCUGAGGGAAGUCUUUUUUCGGCCUAUGGAUUUUGUGAAAUGGUCUUGCCACCAAAAUCUGAUUGGAGACGUUCAGCCCCUGUGGGUAUGUUGAUAUCAGUUGAAGAGGGAACCUCGCCCCCUUCAGGAAGACUAUCUGCACUUUGGGUUUUAUUCCAAAAGAAUCUCAAACCUGUCAUUCUCUGGUCUAAUUACCAUAUAUGUUUUGCCACUAUGCAAAUCUUGAACAUCUGAGAUACGCAAAAGAACAUUAUUUACAAUAAUGUAAUUCCAAUGACCUCGUUUACAUUUCUAUUCAUGGAUUUUUGAUGAGGCAA